UUAUGGCUCAGAUUGAACGCUGGCGGCGUGCUUAACACAUGCAAGUCGCGCGUGAAAGGACUUCGGUCCGAGUAAAGCGGCGCACGGGUGAGUAACGCGUGGAUGAUCUACCCAUGAGUUAGGAAUAACGGCUGGAAACGGUCGCUAAUACCAAAUACGCUCCGAUUUCAACUUCGGGGGAAAGGUGGCCUCUGCUUGCAAGCUACUGCUCAUGGAUGAGUCCGCGUCCCAUUAGCUAGUUGGUGGGGUAACGGCCCACCAAGGCGACGAUGGGUAGCCGGUCUGAGAGGAUGACCGGCCACACUGGGACUGGAACACGGCCCAGACUCCUACGGGAGGCAGCAGUGGGGAAUAUUGCGCAAUGGGCGAAAGCCUGACGCAGCGACGCCGCGUGAGGGGAAUGAAGGUCCUCGGAUCGUAAACCUCUGUCAGGAGGGAAGAACCGCCACGGUGCUAAUCAGCCGUGGUCUGACGGUACCUCCAAGGGAAGCACCGGCUAACUCCGUGCCAGCCGCCGC
RNAcentral lists this ribosomal RNA (518 nucleotides) under uncultured bacterium. RNAcentral describes it as "bacterial SSU rRNA". It matches the Rfam family "Bacterial small subunit ribosomal RNA", at positions 17 to 518 of the family's 1533-position model. The record is from RNAcentral.